RNAcentral lists this ribosomal RNA (236 nucleotides) under uncultured bacterium. Its description in RNAcentral is "partial 16S ribosomal RNA". It matches the Rfam family "Bacterial small subunit ribosomal RNA", at positions 524 to 759 of the family's 1533-position model. The record is from RNAcentral.
UACGGAGGGUGCAAGCGUUAUCCGGAUUCACUGGGUUUAAAGGGUGCGUAGGUGGGCAGGUAAGUCAGUGGUGAAAUCUCUGAGCUUAACUCAGAAACUGCCGUUGAUACUAUCUGUCUUGAAUAUAGUGGAGGUGAGCGGAAUAUGUCAUGUAGCGGUGAAAUGCUUAGAUAUGACAUAGAACACCAAUUGCGAAGGCAGCUUGCUACACUAUCAUUGACACUGAGGCACGAAAG